This 433-nucleotide ribosomal RNA is filed under the name uncultured bacterium. RNAcentral's name for it is "bacterial SSU rRNA". It matches the Rfam family "Bacterial small subunit ribosomal RNA", at positions 30 to 507 of the family's 1533-position model. The record is from RNAcentral.
AUUGAACGCUGGCGGCAGGCCUAACACAUGCAAGUCGAGCGAGACCUUCGGGUCUAGCGGCGGACGGGUGAGUAACGCGUGGGAAUAUGCCCUUCGGUUCGGAAUAGCCCCGGGAAACUGGGAGUAAUACCGGAUACGGUCUACGGACGAAAGAUUUAUCGCCGAAGGAUUAGCCCGCGUUGGAUUAGGUAGUUGGUGGGGUAAUGGCCUACCAAGCCGACGAUCCAUAGCUGGUUUGAGAGGAUGAUCAGCCACACUGGGACUGAGACACGGCCCAGACUCCUACGGGAGGCAGCAGUGGGGAAUCUUAGACAAUGGGGGAAACCCUGAUCUAGCCAUGCCGCGUGAGCGAUGAAGGCCUUAGGGUUGUAAAGCUCUUUCAGCGGGGAAGAUAAUGACUGUACCCGCAGAAGAAGCCCCGGCUAACUCCGUG